CUAUUUUAAUUAAAAACCCAAUCUAUUUACUUAUUUUUGGAAAGUUGAGCACUAAUAUUUGAUUCUUGGUUUCAUUUAUAGGUGAAAGUUCCACAUCGAACUCUGUGAGUGUCAGAGAGAAACAGAAGAAACAAGGAAGAGAGUUAGAUGAGGAUGGAUGUUCUGACCACUUCAGCCCCCCAAAAAAACAACACAGUGAGGAUAGAACCUUAGAUUUAAAUGAUGAAAUUUCCACAACAACUUCUAUCAGUGUCCAGGAGAGACAAAAGAAAC
Long non-coding RNA from Hemibagrus wyckioides, 273 nucleotides. RefSeq lists it as uncharacterized. The transcript has 3 exons. Lineage: Eukaryota; Metazoa; Chordata; Actinopteri; Siluriformes; Bagridae. The record is from RefSeq and is a predicted model, not a curated record.